AAAUAAAUCAAAACUUUCAACAACGGAUCUCUUGGUUCUGGCAUCGAUGAAGAACGCAGCAAAAUGCGAUAAGUAAUGUGAAUUGCAGAAUUCAGUGAAUCAUCGAAUCUUUGAACGCACAUUGCGCCUGCCAGUAUUCUGGCGGGCAUGCCUGUUCGAGCGUCAUUUCAACCCUCAAGCACAGCUUGGUGUUGGGACUCGCGUUAAUUCGCGUUCCCCAAAUUGAUUGGCGGUCACGUCGAGCUUCCAUAGCGUAGUAGUAAAACCCUCGUUACUGGUAAUCGUCGCGGCCACGCCGUUAAACCCCAACUUCUGAAUGUUGACCUCGGAUCAGGUAGAAUACCCGCUGAACUUAAGCAUAUCAAUA
Molecule: ribosomal RNA, 367 nt
Filed under: Fusarium oxysporum f. sp. lycopersici
Lineage: Eukaryota; Fungi; Ascomycota; Sordariomycetes; Hypocreales; Nectriaceae
Description: eukaryotic LSU rRNA
Rfam family: 5.8S ribosomal RNA (bases 12-165)
Source: RNAcentral